UGAGGAAUAUUGGUCAAUGGACGCAAGUCUGAACCAGCCAAGUAGCGUGCAGGAUGACGGCCCUCCGGGUUGUAAACUGCUUUUAGUUGGGAAUAAAAAGAGGGACGUGUCCCUCAUUGUAUGUACCUUCAGAAAAAGGACCGGCUAAUUCCGUGCCAGCAGCCGCGGUAAUACGGAAGGUCCAGGCGUUAUCCGGAUUUAUUGGGUUUAAAGGGAGCGUAGGCGGAUUAUUAAGUCAGUGGUGAAAGACGGUGGCUCAACCAUCGUUAGCCAUUGAAAAUGGUAGUAUUGAGUGCAGACAGGGAUGCUGGAACGCGUGGUGUAGAGGUGAAAUGCUUAGAUAUCACGAUGAACUCCGAUCGCGAAGGCAGGUGUCCGGGCUGCAACUGACGCUGAGGCUCGAAAGUGUGGGUAUAAAACAGG
RNAcentral lists this ribosomal RNA (423 nucleotides) under bacterium. RNAcentral's name for it is "partial 16S ribosomal RNA". It matches the Rfam family "Bacterial small subunit ribosomal RNA", at positions 355 to 776 of the family's 1533-position model. The record is from RNAcentral.